UACGGGGGGAGCAAGCGUUGUCCGGAAUUAUUGGGCGUAAAGAGCUCGUAGGUGGCUUGUCGCGUCUGCCGUGAAAGCCCGUGGCUUAACUACGGGUCUGCGGUGGAUACGGGCAGGCUAGAGGCUGGUAGGGGCAAGCGGAAUUCCUGGUGUAGCGGUGAAAUGCGCAGAUAUCAGGAGGAACACCGGUGGCGAAGGCGGGUCUCUGGGCCGAUACUGACGCUGAGAAGCGAAAGCGUGGGGAGCGAACAGG
RNAcentral lists this ribosomal RNA (253 nucleotides) under uncultured bacterium. RNAcentral describes it as "partial 16S ribosomal RNA". It matches the Rfam family "Bacterial small subunit ribosomal RNA", at positions 524 to 776 of the family's 1533-position model. The record is from RNAcentral.